This 406-nucleotide ribosomal RNA is filed under the name uncultured bacterium. RNAcentral's name for it is "partial 16S ribosomal RNA". It matches the Rfam family "Bacterial small subunit ribosomal RNA", at positions 29 to 526 of the family's 1533-position model. The record is from RNAcentral.
AUUGAACGCUGGCGGCAGGCUUAACACAUGCAAGUCGAGCGAGCGGCGGACGGGUGCGUAAGGUCUGGGAAACUGCCUGAUGGAGGGGGAUAACUACUGGAAACGGUAGCUAAUACCGCAUACAAUCAGAUGUGCCCAGAUGGGAUUAGCUAGUGGGUGGGGUAAGGGCUCACCGAGGGGACGAUCCAUAACUGGUCUGAGAGGAUGACCAGCCACACCGGAACGGAGAAACGGUCCAGACUCCUACGGGAGGCAGCAGUGGGGAAUAUUGCACAAUGGGCGCAAGCCUGAAGCAGCCAUGCCGCGUGUGUGAAGAAGGCCUUCGGGUUGUAAAACUCUUUCAGCGAGGAGGCGUUACUCGCAGAAGAAGCACCGGCUAACUCCGUGCCAGCCGCCGCGGUAAUUC